UAGUUACCCUGAUUCAGACGGACCCCUAAAUAGGACCGGUAAGAGAGAAAAAGAAGAGGAGAGUACUUUGUCUCACACGGCCGCCAGGAACUAGGAGACUCCACAGGCGUACAUUAGAGGCACUGCGCCUCCGAAAGUGCAACCGAACUGUCAUGAGAUGGAACACUCCUACUGUCAGGGGAAUGCUUCAACAGGU
Molecule: RNA transcript, 196 nt
Organism: Vitis vinifera (wine grape)
Lineage: Eukaryota; Viridiplantae; Streptophyta; Magnoliopsida; Vitales; Vitaceae
Gene name: 50S ribosomal protein L30-like
Exons: 2
Source: RefSeq, a predicted model, not a curated record